UACGUAGGUGGCGAGCGUUGUCCGGAUUUACUGGGCGUAAGGGAGCGUAGGCGGACUUUUAAGUGAGAUGUGAAAUACACGGGCUCAACUUGAGUGCUGCAUUUCAAACUGGAAGUCUAGAGUGCAGGAGAGGAGAAUGGAAUUCCUAGUGUAGCGGUGAAAUGCGUAGAGAUUAGGAAGAACACCAGUGGCGAAGGCGAUUCUCUGGACUGUAACUGACGCUGAGGCUCGAAAGCGUGGGGAGCAAACAGG
This 252-nucleotide ribosomal RNA is filed under the name uncultured bacterium. Its description in RNAcentral is "partial 16S ribosomal RNA". It matches the Rfam family "Bacterial small subunit ribosomal RNA", at positions 524 to 776 of the family's 1533-position model. The record is from RNAcentral.